This 400-nucleotide ribosomal RNA is filed under the name uncultured bacterium. RNAcentral's name for it is "bacterial SSU rRNA". It matches the Rfam family "Bacterial small subunit ribosomal RNA", at positions 126 to 524 of the family's 1533-position model. The record is from RNAcentral.
CUGCCCUUCACUGGGGAAUAGCCUUCUGAAAAGGAGAUUAAUACCCCAUAAAAUAGCAAGGUGGCAUCACCUAACUAUUAAAGUUCCGGCGGUGAAGGAUGAGCGUGCGUCCUAUUAGGUAGUUGGUAGGGUAACGGCCUACCAAGCCGACGAUAGGUAGCUGGUGUGAGAGCACGACCAGCCACACGGGCACUGAGACACGGGCCCGACUCCUACGGGAGGCAGCAGUGAGGAAUAUUGGUCAAUGGGCGGAAGCCUGAACCAGCCAUGCCGCGUGGAGGAUGAAGGCCCUCUGGGUUGUAAACUUCUUUUAUCAGGGAAGAAAAGUACUAUUUCUAUGGUAUCCGACGGUACCUGAUGAAUAAGCACCGGCUAACUCCGUGCCAGCAGCCGCGGUAAU